AUUAACUUUAUUUAUAAAAUACUUCUGGGAUUAAUUAAACUUCAUUGUUUCGAAGGUCAACUUGCCGUGUUUGCAAAAUACACUUUUGAAUUUUUCUCUUUAUUGUUCAUGACAAGAAUUAUAUAAACAACCAGAAUGUCGACAAUAAUUAAAGAUGAAGAAAUGAAUAAUCAGCGCGUGUUGCCUCGGAUAGUUCUGAUAGCCUGUGGUUCUUUCAGCCCACCGACGCCAAUGCACUGUCGAAUGUUCGAAAUUGCCCGUGAUUAUUACAAAACACAAGGAACACAUCACGUCAUUGGUGGCAUCGUUUCACCCACACACGAUUCAUAUCAGAAAAAAGGACUCGUUGCUGGCACACAUCGAUUUGCUAUGUUGAAAUUGGCAUUGCAAUCCACAACAUGGAUAAAACCCUCAGACUGGGAAAUACAACAAUCGGAAUGGUCACGCACAAUCUCCGUUCUGCAGUACCAUCAAAACUAUAUGAAUAACUAUAUCAACUCUCCACUAGAAAGUGACAUGAACGGUACACUACCUAGCUGGAUGCCUACAGGUUUGCGUGAGCGGCAGGAUGGCGUGCAAUUGAAAUUGCUGUGCGGAGCUGAUUUACUAGAAUCAUUUGCAGUGCCGGGAUUAUGGGCAGAUAAGGAUAUUGAAGACAUUGUUGGCAAUCAUGGUUUAGUGGUUAUUUCACGUUAUGGCUCUAAUCCUGAAAAAUUCAUUUUCGAGUCAGAUAUGUUGACGAAAUAUCAGAAACAUAUUACGUUAAUAACGAAUUGGGUACCCAACGAAGUUAGUUCUACAAUGAUACGACGUCUUAUAUCGCGCGAUCUGUCUGUGAAAUUCUUGAUCGAUGACAGGGUCAUUGAUUAUAUUCAAAUGCAAGGAUUAUUUAAUUGUAAAACUGUGUUCCAAAUAUGCCAAAAAAACGCAGGCGGUGGGAUGUACAGAAUAUGAGAAAGGCCAUGGCAGCUGUAGCAACGGGGAUAGGGGAAUACUGUUGGCCUGUAAAAUCUUUCAAGUUCCACAUACCACAUUACAGCGAAUGGCUAGAAGCGAGAAGCCGGCAGAGGAGCUACUUGCCACUAAAUUAGGCAGGAAAAAAACUAGAAAUUGAAUCCGACGCUAUAAAGAAAAAGACAAAUGCUGUGCUACACAUUGGUGUAGUGUUCCUGAUAGCGCUUAGAAAACAUGUGAAGGAUGUUGUAACCAAAUAAUGGCUGUAAAAAGGAUGUUGUAAAUGGAGAGUGCUUGCUGAAAGUGAAAAAAUAUUCAAAUAAUUUAUACUUGCUUACGCUUAAUUCAAAUGAAACUUCUAAUAUGUGUAUGUGUGAUUUGGUUUGGUGAAACUUGUAAAAAUUAAUAUUAGAUUAAAGUAGAAAGCUAUUUUAGCACUUCAUGAA
RNAcentral lists this unclassified non-coding RNA (1400 nucleotides) under Bactrocera latifrons. Its description in RNAcentral is "nicotinamide/nicotinic acid mononucleotide adenylyltransferase 3-like, transcript variant X1". Lineage: Eukaryota; Metazoa; Arthropoda; Insecta; Diptera; Tephritidae. The record is from RNAcentral.